RNAcentral lists this long non-coding RNA (1351 nucleotides) under Homo sapiens (human). RNAcentral's name for it is "HSALNT0343737". The record is from RNAcentral. Lineage: Eukaryota; Metazoa; Chordata; Mammalia; Primates; Hominidae.
AAGCUGUGGCAUAUCAGUGACAGCUUUGUAAUGUGACAGCAGCUGGGGACAGUAGGGUGAAGUGUCUCUUCUUCAAAAUACACCCCUGAGCCACUCUACUCAGCCCACUGGAGUGUCUUAAAUGGAGCCCUGUAAAGAGGGUGUGGCGAAGUCAGCUGGACAAAAGAUCCUACCAUCACCUCUUGAGAUGAGUCACAUGACUGAAAUAUUUUUCAACUGGGGAUGUAUUGUACUCAAAAUGGAGAGACACCAAAGUUCCUUCAAAUGGCACUGUGUGUCUGGGUUCCUUUGUUCCUUCACUCAAGCCUGAUUCCCACGUCUCCAUGAGCAUGGCAGGAGGCUGGCUGUAGCAGCUUCUCAACCAAUGGCAGGAUGGAGCAAGCUACAUGGUUAUAGGUAGCAAUGGAGGCUAAUCCCACUUUGGGCUUUUUGCCCAUGCAAUAAUAAAUGAGUGUGUGUGGUUUUUGCUCCCUCUGUUAAGUGGAUGUUAAUUUUUCAGGCCAAAGUAAUUUGAGCUGCAGUUUAUCAGUUUUCUAACCUUGCUUUAUCUAUAAUGAUUUCUCUAGACUUUCAACUUAGUAUAAACAAGGAAAACAUUUCGGGUCAAAUUUUUUUUAUAUAUAAACAUGUUAAGAGUGAGCUAAGUAACUGUUUUUAUAUCUAAAAUACUGAAUGAUAUUUAUGAAUCAAUUUUCUUAAAGUUUUCAUUUUUGGUAACGUCGGCUGAAACAGUGGCUGCUUACACAGGCACAGUGAAGUGCAGCCUGCAGGAGACACUUGAUGACCUAAGCAGAACAACCCACCUACCAGAAAUAUCCAGGUUGGCCACAGUAGGAGAGGAGCCCUCUAGUUCAGUGAUACCAGCGCUCUCACUGGAAGAAAUGAGGAGGGCCUUUCUCCAUGAAAAUGAGCGUGACAGAAAACUGCAGGUGCCGGAGCCCCAGAGGCCGUUCUGUAAGAAGCAGAAAAAGACAUCACUUGAGACUGAACUUGCAUGAAAAAUGAGGCUGUAUAAGGAAAAUAAAUUCCAACUUUGGAAUUCUCCAGUUUCCCCUAUCUUAGCCUUCAUACUGAUCCUUUAGCAAGAUAGGUGGUUACCAGUGGUUUCACAUUCAGCACUGUCUACAAGAGGUUUUGCCUCUAGAAGUUACAAGGACCAGGGAAUACAUAGGAAGAAACCACGAAGAUAUCUUGGACACAAAUAGAAUUUCAAGUAGGGUGUGUAUGGAUGUCACAUUUGAUAAAAAGGACAAAGUCUUAUUUUACAUAUGUUUUCUAUACUUAGAUUUUGUGCUAAAUUUCAUUGCAAAGCAAAUUGAUUUGUUUGAAAAUAAUCACGAAAUUGAGUGGC